This is a small nucleolar RNA of Chanos chanos (milkfish), 137 nucleotides long. RefSeq annotates it as small nucleolar RNA SNORA69. The transcript has a single exon. NCBI's taxonomy places the organism in Eukaryota, Metazoa, Chordata, Actinopteri, Gonorynchiformes, Chanidae. The record is from RefSeq and is a predicted model, not a curated record.
CAAGCAGGCUGCUAUUACAGUACUGCUUUCUGUGGAAGUGCUGUCAUUACCCUGCUGAGAGCAACAUUCAAACUUGGAGUCAGAAAGGGCUUGUCAGUUCUCUGUUGACAAGCCCAGCUACUCCUUUGGAAACAUCU